Long non-coding RNA from Peromyscus californicus insignis, 5000 nucleotides. RefSeq lists it as uncharacterized. The record is from RefSeq and is a predicted model, not a curated record. The transcript has 2 exons. NCBI's taxonomy places the organism in Eukaryota, Metazoa, Chordata, Mammalia, Rodentia, Cricetidae.
UGAGACAGGGUUUCUCUGUGUAGCUUUGGAGCCUGUCCUGGAACUCGUGCUGUAGACCAGGUUGGUCUCGAACUCACAGAGAUCCUCCUGCCUCUGCCUCCCGAGUGCUGGGAUUAAAGGCACACUCCACCACCGUCUGGCAUGGAGUAAAUUUUUUAACGUAAGUGUUUUUCUUGAGACUUGGCUAUUUUUGUGUAAGGCACAAUAGGUCAUCAGGGGUUAGGGUCCAAAUGUCUACGUAAAACAUGAGUCGGUCUCCAAACGUUUGAGGCUGAAGAAAGUAUAGGAAUUUUGUUUUGACUUCUAGCAUUUUUGUCUCUAAAUUUCCUCAAUCAGGUCAAAUUGAUUAUAAGGGAGAAAAAUCUGUCUUUGGAGCUACCUUGGGCUGAGAAGGCAGGAGCACCAGAGGACACUAAUUGGCAUUGUUGGUCUGUUAUAGGUUGUAGAACCGUAAGACUUAAGCUUGAGGAGAGGAAGUGGCCAGUGUAAGAGGUCAAAAGGGCCAGACCAUGACACAACAUUUAGAGAUAGGGGUUGGUGGUGAUGGUCAUGGUUGAUAUCUCUGAGUUAAUUGCAUCUGUAGCUGAAGGGCCAGCAAUCCGAAAGAUACCAAUUACUCCAGAAGGUUACAUACGCAAAGGCUGAGAUCACAAACCAGAACAGAAACAAGAAAGGAACUGAAACCCAUCUGGAGAUGUUACCCAGGAUGUCCAACUAGGACGUCCAUUGAAUUCUGGAAGACACAAAUGUGAUUAGCCACUGCAGGAGGCAAGGACCAUAGAUACAGGGAAGACUAAGGGGUAUGACUAGAUGGGUAAGGGGGCAAGCCAUCACUGUGUCUAUCCAAACAGUGAUAUUAAGAGAAAAACUGGCAAAACUGGCAAUGGGGAUAAAGCACAGAAGAGCAUCCCAGGCCUGGGAUGAAGGAGCUGCAUUCUUUAGUGAAGAGUGCAGGAUGGAUGGUAAGAGCCUAAUGUGUCUGUCAUGGAGGCAGAGGAUUCAUCUUAGUUUUUCCUCUAGAUGCCCAUGUAGGGCAGGAGAAUCAAGACAGUUGAUGGUGAUGGCGAAAGUUAGGGGGAGGAGAUCAUCUUCUGAGGGUUGAGACUCAUAGGCGGACUUUAGGGAUAGGCUUUGGUUUUGUUUUUCUUAAAGGUUGUAUUUAUUUUAAUUUUAAGUGCCUGAAUGCUUUGCCUGCAUGCAUGGGUCACAUGCAUGCCUGGUCCUCGUGGAGGUCAGGAGAAGGCACCAGGUCUCCUGAAACUACAGUUACAGACAGUUGUGAGCUGCCAUGUGGUACUGGGAACCAGACCCAGCUCUUCUUUAAGAGCAGCCAGUGCUCUUAAUUGAUGAACCAUCUCUCCAGCUCCCCAGGGAUAUGUUUUAAAGUUGAGUAACAUGAGGGGGUACAAGUCAAACCUGUGGAUGAUUACAACAGACCCAACUCUGAUGAAGACUUUUUUCCUAGUGAUAAUGAAGGAGAGUUUAAACAGAGAGUUGGAUUUUUUUAUUUACUCAGAACUAGACAAAAUAGCGUUGGCAGUAGAACAUUUUUAAAAGAUGUUAGAGCAAUAAAAAAGGGUUUGAGCCAGGUGGUGGUGUUGCACGCCUUUAAUUCCAGCACUCGGGAGGCAGAGGCAGGUGAUUUUUGUGAGUUCAAGGCCAGCCUGGGGUCUACAGAGCGAGAUCCAGGAAAGACACAAAGCUACAUAGGAAAACACUGUCUCGAAAAACCAAAAAAAAAAAAAAAGGGUUUGCUUAGUGGGGCACAGCAAGAGUGAGUAUAAGUGUUAUGGGGCAUCUCUCAUUUGGGUAAUUCUAACAUCAGGAUCCAUAGAUUUGCUUAGUAAGACUUGGCAAUAUCUUUUUAAAAAUGGCUGAAGCUGAGCUGAAUGAGGCCAAGAGGCUAACCCCUUCGGAGACAGUCUUGGAGAUUCACAAAGGGCUCCUUUGAUCGUUUACCCUUUUUCUCUGCUAAUUGUUCUAUCAGCUGGAAUGGCCUAGAAUUCUGCUGACCAUGUAGGUUCCUUUGGAAGCAUACACACACACACACACACACACACACACACACACACACACACACACACACACACACGCAUGCUCUUCAUUGAAGAAUGUGAACUUGUUAGAGUACAAACCAUGGUGUCUCCGUGGCCUCUCUAAUGAGGACAACAGACAAUUUACUAUCCUUGUAGGGCCUUUUUAGAGGGGUUCUGUUGUUCCCUGGGCUCUGGCUAACAUGGGAAGGCAAAGGCUGAAUGUUGGCUGUCCUUUCUGCUCCUUUUUAUCUUUGGUUUAGUCUUUUAAGUUUUCAUUGUUGAACACCCAGAAGGACAGCUAUAUCGGACUUGAGGAAAUAAUGGAUUUCGGUUUUAACUUCUGUGUAAUGCUUUGACACUGCUUAGAUGAAAGCAGAUUUGGAAAUGAAUUGUGGAAGGGUGGGUGGAGCCUAAAUUCAGAAAGGAGACCGAGAGAGUGAUAGCUGGAGAUGAAGAAGGACAGAAGGUAGACGAAGGGCCACGUGGGUCAUGAAAGAAGAUACAAAGCUACUUUUUUUCCUCUCUAGAUUCAAUUCCAUCAAAACUCAGCGUCUAGUCUUUCAACCUCCAAUUUAAACCUGAGAAGUAUGAACAGUUGUGACCGGCUAUUCCGCUUUCCCAUCCACCAAAGGGGACAGAAUUGUGGAAGAUGCUCUUGGUGCCCAGGGAGGCCCUAGCUGGCUGCAGUUACCAGACUGGAAGAGAAAUUCCUUUUCCUCUUCGAGGCCAGUCUUGAAUGUUGCUUGUGAACCACUCCCUAAACCUUGGCUGACCCAGGAAUCCUUCUGCUGCUCUCAGCAUCUUCUACUGCCUUUGACUCUGUCCAAGUCACUCACAGUGUAAGCCAUAAUAAAAGGGCCUGCCAUGGCUUCUCCUCCAGAUAGUGUCCUAACUCGCUUCUCCAUCAAAUGUGUAGGGGACAGUUAUGCCACACCUCUCAGACGAUCUAGAUUCUUCCUUCUUCUUUUCUAACCGGAGUCCCUUCAAAUAGGUCUAUUCCUAGACAUGUUGAAUAGUUUAGAAGUGGGUACUUGAUCCACCAUUGCUGGGGAUGCUGUAAAUGUGUUGCUCUAAUUGAUUGAUAAUUGAUAGCCAGGCAGGAAGUAUAGUGUAGGCAGGAUAAGGAGAGAGGAGAAUUCUAGGUUGUGGAAGGCUGAGUCAGAAGACACUGCCAGCCACCGCCGCCAUGAGAAGCAAGAUGUAAGGUACCAGUAAGCCACAAGCCACAUGGCAACUUAUAGAUUAAUAAAAAUGGGUUAAUUUAAGAUAUAAGAACUAGAUAGCAAGAAGCCUGAUCCAUUAGGCCAAACAGUUUAAAUAAUAUAAGCGUCUGUGUGUUUAUUUGGGUCUGAGUGGCUGUGGGUCUGAGCAAGACUGGAGAAAACUCCAACUACACACCAUAUAAGUGAUGUUUCCCCUGGUUUGUUUCAAAAUGUUUUAUUUAAUUUUUUACAUUCUCUUCUGUCUCUGUCUCUGUCUCUGACUCUGUCUCUCUCUCUCUGUAGUGUACUGUAUGUGUUCAGGUAUGUAUGUCUGUGUGCACACUCGUGGAGGACAGAGGGAGAACUUUGAUGCCUUGCUCUAUCAUUACCUUAUUUCCUUGACGCAGGGUCUCUCACUGAACCUAAAGCUCAUCCUUCAGAUAGACUGGCUGGCAUCAAGCUCCUGGGAUCUCACUCCACUCUGCCCCAAGCUCCCAGUGCUGGGAUUACAUGCACAUGUGACCAGGCCAGCUUUAAAGAAAACAAAAGCAUCUAUGCUAGAGAUCUAACUCGAGUCCUCGUGCUGGCACCGCAAACUCGCUUACCCAUCAAGCCUUCUCUCCAUGCCCCUUUCUCUAUUUUCAAAAGCUAUGUUGAAAUUGUUAAAUGAUUCUUCCAAAGGUGCAUUUUUUUUUGGAGUUGUUUCCAGUUUGGGGCUGUUCUGAAUAAAGCUGUUAUAAACCAUUGUUUGUUAGCCUUUUUGGAGAUCUUUCUUUUUAUUCCUCUUGGAUAAAUAAACGGCUAAGAGUGGAAUUCCUGCAUUACAGGUGUGAGCUGAAAAUCUCAGAAAAAGGUCACAUUUAAUGUUAAACAUUCUAUAAGGCUGUGAUUAUUAUAUUAUAUAUUACAUAUAUUAUAUCAUAUCAUAUCAUAUCAUAUCAUAUCAUAUCAUAUUAUAUUAUAUCAUUGGUAAACUGCCAUAUGCUGUUUGAACUCACUGAGAAGUUGGCUUUUGGAAGCAAGCUGUCUUCCACUUCAGACCCAAACAUAUUUACAUAUUUAUGUCAAGUGUCCUCCAAAGUAUCCUUUCCUGGGUCAGGCUGUGCCCCCACUUCCAUCUCCACCCCGCCACCCCUGUUCUGUAACAGGAAAAGGAAGAACAACAAGAAGCUUAGGGAAUGAAAAGCACGAUGCUCCUAGAAGCAUCUAGAAGACAAACUCUUUCCAAUAGGCAUGAUGAGUCUUUAUUCUAUGAUAUAAAAAGACCUUCCAUGGAAAUGGGAAGCCAGAAAUUCAGCCAUGGAAAGCUCAUCCACGGGAAUGAGGGAGAGGACCCACUGCUCAGGAUCGACCAAUCAGCGGUUCCAACUGAGUGGCUCGACUCCCCACUCAGUUCCUGCUGGAUGAGUAUCAGCACCUAAUGUGAUAGUGUUGUCCAUUUAUCUGCUGCCAUUUGUUCUUUUAUUUGGUGGUGUUACCCACAGAAACAGUCUGCUCCACCCAAAACUCUCUCGAUUGGGAAGCCAGCUGGCCAUCCCCAUGGGGCUUCCCAAUCUGUUUCUGCUGGAUGUUUAUAAACCCCAAUGUUACCUUCUGUUUGCUCUCUCAGAUGGGCCACUGAAGUCAUUAGCCCUGAAUGUUGUGAGCUCCUGAUUUGAUGAUGUUUGUUUGAUGUUUGUUUGAUGCUCUGUCUAUCUACCUAUUUUGGCAUGCAUUUUUGACUCUAUUUUUAUUUAAUAAACUUGCUCACUCAAAACUGAAA